RNAcentral lists this long non-coding RNA (443 nucleotides) under Carica papaya (papaya). RNAcentral describes it as "long non-coding RNA (CPAP_LNC014736)". The record is from RNAcentral. Lineage: Eukaryota; Viridiplantae; Streptophyta; Magnoliopsida; Brassicales; Caricaceae.
AGCAGGGAACCUCAGGCCAUCAGCUCCACACCGUAGACGAGCACCUACUACACCUGUUCAACAGAACAAGAUAGCCAGGCCAAUGACUCAAGCUCCCCCUCAGGUUCCAGUAGCAGGACGCGAUAAGAUCUGUCAGCAUUACGGCAAGGAUCACAGGGACUGACCCUACUAUCGCCUCAACAACACCUACCGCAUAUGUGGUAGCGCCCAACAUUAUGCAAGGGAGUGCCCGAAAAACCAGAAUCAGGCCAGACCUCCUAUCUAGGGCAUGGCUUACAAUCUCACUCAGUAGGAUGCAGAAGCCAACCCGGACGUGGUAUAGGACAAACCUAAGAAAUAAAUUUAUAUUCAAGAGAUUCCAGUAGUAUGAGACUUUUCAGAUGUAUUUCUAGAUGAACUACCUGAAUUGCUGGUGGACAGAGAAGUCAAAUUCACCAUAGACC